GAUGAACGCUGGCGGCGUGCCUAAUACAUGCAAGUCGAGCGAACGGACGAGAAGCUUGCUUCUCUGAUGUUAGCGGCGGACGGGUGAGUAACACGUGGAUAACCUACCUAUAAGACUGGGAUAACUUCGGGAAACCGGAGCUAAUACCGGAUAAUAUUUUGAACCGCAUGGUUCAAAAGUGAAAGACGGUCUUGCUGUCACUUAUAGAUGGAUCCGCGCUGCAUUAGCUAGUUGGUAAGGUAACGGCUUACCAAGGCAACGAUGCAUAGCCGACCUGAGAAGGUGAUCGGCCACACUGGAACUGAGACACGGUCCAGACUCCUACGGGAGGCAGCAGUAGGGAAUCUUCCGCAAUGGGCGAAAGCCUGACGGAGCAACGCCGCGUGAGUGAUGAAGGUCUUCGGAUCGUAAAACUCUGUUAUUAGGGAAGAACAUAUGUGUAAGUAACUGUGCACAUCUUGACGGUACCUAAUCAGAAAGCCACGGCUAACUACGUGCCAGCAGCCGCGGUAAUACGUAGGUGGCAAGCGUUAUCCGGAAUUAUUGGGCGUAAAGCGCGCGUAGGCGGUUUUUUAAGUCUGAUGUGAAAGCCCACGGCUCAACCGUGGAGGGUCAUUGGAAACUGGAAAACUUGAGUGCAGAAGAGGAAAGUGGAAUUCCAUGUGUAGCGGUGAAAUGCGCAGAGAUAUGGAGGAACACCAGUGGCGAAGGCGACUUUCUGGUCUGUAACUGACGCUGAUGUGCGAAAGCGUGGGGAUCAAACAGGAUUAGAUACCCUGGUAGUCCACGCCGUAAACGAUGAGUGCUAAGUGUUAGGGGGUUUCCGCCCCUUAGUGCUGCAGCUAACGCAUUAAGCACUCCGCCUGGGGAGUACGACCGCAAGGUUGAAACUCAAAGGAAUUGACGGGGACCCGCACAAGCGGUGGAGCAUGUGGUUUAAUUCGAAGCAACGCGAAGAACCUUACCAAAUCUUGACAUCCUUUGACAACUCUAGAGAUAGAGCCUUCCCCUUCGGGGGACAAAGUGACAGGUGGUGCAUGGUUGUCGUCAGCUCGUGUCGUGAGAUGUUGGGUUAAGUCCCGCAACGAGCGCAACCCUUAAGCUUAGUUGCCAUCAUUAAGUUGGGCACUCUAAGUUGACUGCCGGUGACAAACCGGAGGAAGGUGGGGAUGACGUCAAAUCAUCAUGCCCCUUAUGAUUUGGGCUACACACGUGCUACAAUGGACAAUACAAAGGGCAGCGAAACCGCGAGGUCAAGCAAAUCCCAUAAAGUUGUUCUCAGUUCGGAUUGUAGUCUGCAACUCGACUACAUGAAGCUGGAAUCGCUAGUAAUCGUAGAUCAGCAUGCUACGGUGAAUACGUUCCCGGGUCU
RNAcentral lists this ribosomal RNA (1372 nucleotides) under uncultured bacterium. RNAcentral's name for it is "bacterial SSU rRNA". It matches the Rfam family "Bacterial small subunit ribosomal RNA", at positions 28 to 1381 of the family's 1533-position model. The record is from RNAcentral.